GACGAACGCUGGCGCCGUGCUUAACACAUGCAAGUCGAACGGAAAGGCCUGCUUUCCCUUGUGGAUUGCGGGUACUCGAGUGGCGAACGGGUGAGUAACACGUGAGUGAUCUGCCCCCAACUUGGGUAUAAGCCUGGGAAACUGGGUCUAAUUCCCGAUAGGACUGCAGGGUGGUGCCUGUGGUGGAAAACGAUUUUCUAGUGGUUGGGGAUGAGCUCGCGGCCUAUCAGCUUGUUGGUGGGGUAAUGGCCUACCAAGGCGGCGACGGGUAGCCGGCCUGAGAGGGUGGACGGCCACAUUGGGACUGAGAUACGGCCCAGACUCCUACGGGAGGCAGCAGUGGGGAAUAUUGCACAAUGGGCGGAAGCCUGAUGCAGCGACGCCGCGUGGGGGAUGACGGCCUUCGGGUUGUAAACUCCUUUCGACCGCGAGGAAGCCACCUGGUUGGAAGGGUGGUGACGGUAGUGGUAGAAGAAGCACCGGCUAACUACGUG
This 494-nucleotide ribosomal RNA is filed under the name uncultured bacterium. RNAcentral describes it as "partial 16S ribosomal RNA". It matches the Rfam family "Bacterial small subunit ribosomal RNA", at positions 28 to 507 of the family's 1533-position model. The record is from RNAcentral.